AUUGAACGCUGGCGGCAUGCUUUACACAUGCAAGUCGAACGGUAACAGGCCGCAAGGUGCUGACGAGUGGCGAACGGGUGAGUAAUGCAUCGGAACGCGCCCAGUCGUGGGGGAUAACUACUCGAAAGAGUAGCUAAUACCGCAUACGAUCUAUGGAUGAAAGCGGGGGACCGUAAGGCCUCGCGCGAUUGGAGCGGCCGAUGUCAGAUUAGGUAGUUGGUGGGGUAAAGGCUCACCAAGCCAACGAUCUGUAGCUGGUCUGAGAGGACGACCAGCCACACUGGGACUGAGGCACGGCCCAGACUCCUACGGGAGGCAGCAGUGGGGAAUUUUGGACAAUGGGCGCAAGCCUGAUCCAGCAAUGCCGCGUGCAGGAAGAUGGCCUUCGGGUUGUAAACUGCUUUUGUACGGAACGAAACGGCUCUGGUUAAUACCCGGGGCUAAUGACGGUACCGUAAGAAUAAGCACCGGCUAACUACGUG
Molecule: ribosomal RNA, 482 nt
Filed under: uncultured bacterium
Lineage: Bacteria
Description: partial 16S ribosomal RNA
Rfam family: Bacterial small subunit ribosomal RNA
Source: RNAcentral